Molecule: ribosomal RNA, 357 nt
Filed under: Triticum aestivum (bread wheat)
Lineage: Eukaryota; Viridiplantae; Streptophyta; Magnoliopsida; Poales; Poaceae
Description: partial small subunit ribosomal RNA
Source: RNAcentral
AUGAGGACCAGCCUCCCCCUUGUCGUCGGCGUCGGCGUCGGCAUCGUCAUUUGCUCCAUCAUCAUGCCCGCCACGGCGAUAUCGAUGCCUGGAGCGUGGGAGUACUGCAACGUCGACGCCCUGAAGAUGCAGGAGCUCGGGAAGUGGGCAGUGGCGGAGCACGUCAAGAUGGCGAACGAUGGCAUCCGAUUCAUCGAGGUGUGGGGCUGCGAGGAGCAGGUUGUUCAAGGCGUUAACUACCGUGUCUUCCUCCACGCGUUCCACAACUCCGGCGAGAAAGGCCGAUUCCAGGCGGGCGUGUACGAGGGGGCGUCGAGCAGUGUACGCAAGCUCGUCUCCUUCGACCCGAUCAUGUAG